This 5828-nucleotide long non-coding RNA is filed under the name Sus scrofa (pig). Its description in RNAcentral is "lncRNA (ENSSSCG00030006845.1)". The record is from RNAcentral. Lineage: Eukaryota; Metazoa; Chordata; Mammalia; Artiodactyla; Suidae.
GAAAAUCUUAAAGACACCAAAUAAAGGGACAAUUUGAAAUAAUUAGUCUCUGAAAAGCCUAUUCAAAUUAAAAGAUAAACCUCCAUCUUAUUUUAUAUAUUUGCAUAAUUUAAAAUAGGGAGAUGAAAACUUCAGUGUUUAUUUUCCACAGAUCAACAUAACAUCUUUAAACUUAUUUUUCUGAUUAUUGGAGGAGAAACAUUUUCAGUAGCUUUGCCAAAAGGCUACUAGAAAAUUUAAAUACAUUUUUUUUUAAACUUUGGGAGAUUGCUGCUUAAUUAGAAUUAUGAAUUCUCUGCUUUCUGUUCAUCCCUAUAUAUGGAGUGUGUUGUAGCUUCUAUAAUCUAACCUAAUAUUCUAUAAAUAAAACACAGUUGUUGAUUUAUAUUACGCCCCAUACUUGAUAACCUUUUUGUUAUUGAUUUCCACUGAGCUCUUUCUCAUCCUGGUAAUUAACAACAUUUGUCUAUAGAAACAUCUAAUUUUUUAAAGUAUCAAUGUCAUUAAGAGAUAAAUUUCCAUAAAUUUUACUUUUUUUUCUUCUUUUUAGGGCUGCGCUCAUGACAUAUGGAAGUUCCCAGGCUAGGGAUCUACUCGGAGCUACAGCUGCUGGCCUUUGCCACAGCCACAGCAACUCGGGAUCCGAGCUGAUUCUUCACCCUAUACCACAGCUCAUGGCAACGCCAGGUCCUUAAUGCACCAAGCAAGGCCAGGGAUCAAACGCACUCCCUCAGGUUUGUUUCUCCUGAGCCACAAUGGGAACUCCUAAAACAUUGCAAAUUAAAAUUCAUUUUUACUGUAGAGGAAUAUGAUAAUGUGAACUUUUGAGAAUAAGAAUACAAAAUUGUGAGAGAAGUGGAAUGUAUUUUUUAAAUGAAGAUGGUGGAUAUUAAACAGGUAUGGUUUUUAGAAUCUAUUGGACAAAUUUGAGAGUGAUAGAAAAGUUGUUUUUUAUUUAUUUUUUUGUCUUUUUGUCUUUUUUUAGGGCUGCACUUAUGGCAUAUGGAGGUUCCCAGGCUAGGGGUCAAAUCAGAGCUAUAGCCUCUGGUCUAUGCCACAGCCACAGCAACACCAGAUCUGAGCCACGUCUGUGAACUACACCACAGCUCACGGCACCACCGGAUCCUUAACCCACUGAACGAGGUCAGGGAUCGAAACCUCAUGGGAGUUCCCGUCGUGGUGCAGGAAACCCCAUGAGGAUGUGGGUUUGAUCCCUGGCGUCACUCAGUGGAUCAGGGAUCCAGCAUUGCCUUGAGUUGUGGUGUAGGUCACAGAUGUGGCUUGGAUCCCGCAUUGUUACUAUGGCUGUGGUGUAGGCUGGAAGCUGCAGCUCUGAUUCGAGCCCUAGUGUGGGAACUUGCAUAUGUCUCGGAUACAGCCCUAAAAAGCAAAAGAAAAAAAAUUUGAAUCCCAGAUCUGCUUAAACAGUUUUUUUAAUGUGUCUGUGAGGAUUUUUCCGGAAGAAAUCAGCAUUUGAAUUGGUGAACUGAGUAAAGCACAUCACCAAAUGUGUGUGCACUUCAUAGACUCCUUUGAGGGCCGGAAUAGAACAAAAAGGUCGAGGAAGGUGGAAUUUGUCCUAUGCCUGAUUGCUGGAGCCGGGACAUCAAUUUUUCCCUGUCCUUUGUGCUCCUGAUUCUUAGGCCUUCAGACUCAGACUGGACUCUACAGCAUUGGCUCUCAGGCCUUUGAACAACAUUUCAGGCUUUCCUGGGUCCCCAGUUUGCCAAAUGUGGGACUUCUCAGCCAGCCUCCAUGAUCACUUGAGCCAAUACUUUGUAAGUCUCUCUCUGUAUGUGUGUAUCGUCUUUCUAUGUAUCUUUAUCCAGUUGGUUCUGUUUCUAAAAUGCAAGUGGUUUAAUCAGAACCUACAGCUUUAAAGGAAGCACUCUCUGGGACUGAUUGGUCAUAUCUCAAGAAGGAGUGCUUUUGAGCUGGUGAUUAGAAAUCAGGAGUGUUAUAGUUGCUACUCAGACUCUUAUAGAGGGGGAUGCAACCUGACAGGUGAUUGGAUGGUUCAAGUGGCAUGGCCCUGCAGGUGAGGGGCCCAGUGGAAAUAAUAUUCCAGUUGCCAAGGGGCAUAGAAGGGUAUGAGGCAGAGCCAGCUGAAAAAAGCUUGGAACCAUAGCUAGUGGACCAAUCCUGAUAGGAGUCUUUUUUCCUUCCUCUGUCCAAGCUCCACUUUAGGCUUCUGUCCUGCAGAAUCUAACCAGGGGCCAGUUGGCAAGGGAGUUGGAAAUUACAGUUUAUGCACCGAAACAACAUGAGCAGAGUUUUGUUUUUAGUUUUUGUCUUUUUUAGGGCCACACCCUCUGGCAUAUAGGCGUUUCCAGGCUCAAGGUCUAGUCAGAGCUGUAGCAGCUGGCCUACAAACAUACCUACAGCAACACCAGUUCUGAGCUGCAUUUGUGACCUACCCCACAGCUCAUGGCAAUGGCUGAUCCCUGACCUACUGAUCAAGGCAAGGGAUCGAACCCGAGUCCUCAUGGAUGCUAGUUGGAUUUGUUACCCCUGAGCCACAAUGGAAAUUCCUGAACAGAGUUUUGAAAGGUGUACUUGAAGCUGAGAGACAGUAAAUAGCUAGCAGAAUAUGUAUUUUUUGGUCAGUUAGCAUCCUUUUACAUGUUUCAUCACAAUAGUAACACCUUUUGCUUUUGUUUAACAAGAUGCAACUAUCUUUUUACAAACGAAAGUAUUUCCAUCCUCUUCCUCAAGAGAGGCCUACAGUCCCAACAGUCACCAUAGCUGAGUCUGAGUGAUGUUAUUUUCUGUUUUACUCAUUUCUAACUAAAUAAAUAUUCUGUAACAUACAGACCAAAUUGUAAAGUUAAUUAUUAAUAACAGUUCUUACAGAAAAUAGAGGGAUAAUGACAGGAAAGGAAAAAUAAGUAAAUAUAUAUCAAUGUGUACACAUAAUGAGGAAGCAUGAAAAUUUGCGUAACUACUGCUGUCGUGUGUACUUGUAAAUUCCCUUUUUCCUUUACCUUCAGCUGGCAUCACAGCCAGUCAGGUUUUUUUUCUGGUGGAGGUAAUCCAAACCUUUACUCCCAAGGGCUCUAAAUCUUAGUGGUCUGAGGGGUUUUUUUGUUUGUUUGUUUUGUUUUUUUUUUAAAUGUGAACAAAUAAAACAAUGCUUUAUUUCUAAUAUCUUUUAAAAAGUAUUCUAACAAUAUUUAAGGAGGUAAACCCACUUAUAUUUUUCUAUUAUUGUAUCAAUUUAAAGCAUUGGAAAAUCCCUGAAUUUCCUAGGACUGUUCUUAGUGGUCUGUCUUUAAUGUGUGGCUAUAGCUUUGCCUUAGCUAGUGCUGCCAGAUCUGGGAGUACUCAGAGACUGCCUGGGGCUCCAGACAUAAUCCUCCCUGCCUCCAGUGUUACAGCAGCCACUCAGUUUACCCUUAGUAAUUGGGAGCAAUUGCCCCAGGGAAAACAAUGAUCCUUUCUUUGUUAUUUCAGUAGCAGGAGAAGCUCAGUCUAGCUGGUGGAAGUCUCAUCUUCCAGUUCAUUGGAGCUGUGGUCAUGACCUCUGGUGGGAGCAUUCGGCCCUUGGUAUUAAAACCUCUAAACCAACAGCAAUCAAACUUGCAAGGAUGGAAAACAAAAAUUUGAGGGAUUGUAAUGAGCUAUUAUGGUGGAGGAACCUCUCCCACUUCUACCCCUUGAUCCAUGUAUCUGGCUGUGGAAGAAAUGAGUUCCCUACUUUAGUUUCUGAUCCUGAGAAGAGCACACAUCCUACAGAAUGGUGCCCUAGCCAUUCAGGUGUUCAGUGUGUUGUAUCCUGACAGCUGCGUUGACUGUUUUAUCAGCUCUGCUACUUUAGGAGGGAUAUCAAAAGUAUUUUGAUGUUGAUUGAAAAAAAACAAGAACAAAAAAACCCUAAUAGUUAAGAAUUAUGUUUUGGAGUUCUCUUGUGGUGCAGCGGGUUAAGGAUCUGGCAUUGUCACUGUAGCAGCUUAGGUCAUUGCUGUGUCAGGGUUUUGACCCCUAUCUGAGGAACUUCUACAUGCUGUGGGCAUGUCCCCUCCCCCCAAAAAUUGUUUUAUUUGGUGGCUUUCUAAGGACUUCAAGCCCAGGAGGCAGGACUCUCAGAUUGCUCUGAAGGACUGCUCCAAGGAGGCAGGAAGGGAACCAGGAUAUAUAGGAGUUUUUGCAACAAAGACCAGGUAGUUGGAACUUCAAAAGAUUACUGUUAAUUAAAGAAAACCGGGUAUCUCAAGGAAACUAGUGCUGCUCUGUGUUACGGAAGAUGCAGGGAUCUGGGCUCACGGAAAUCAUUCCUUUGAUCUGCACCUCAGCUACCUGGGGCCAGCCUCCUGAUAGCAGGCCUCUCAUUUCUAUCCUGAGUUCCCUCAGGGCUCACUGUGGGGUGGCUGUAAUGUGAUGGCCUGGUGGCUGCAAUGUCCUUUGUUUACUGAUAUGGCAGGCAAUAUUUUUCAUUCAAGUAACAAGACCUGUAAACUCCGUGGGCGUAAGCUCACUGGCACCUUUUUUUAGCUGAGAAAUGAAUUCUUUGGUCAGAACCAGUAUUGUGUAGAACAAACAUAAGUCCACAGAUAGUCUUUAUAUUUAUCUGUUGUUGCAUAACAGGUUGCUUCACAACCUAGCAGCUUAAAACAACAAACAUUUCACAGUUUCUGUUGGUCAAGAAUACAGGACCAGCUUAGCUGGGUAGUGCUGGCUCAUGGCAUCUCUUGAAGUUGCAGUGGAGUCCCACUGGGUGGAGCUACAGUCAUCUCUAGCCUUGAAUGGGCUUGAAGAAUCCACUUUCUACCUCACUCAUAGUUGUUGGCAGGCUGUAUUCAGUUCCUUCCAGGCUGAUAAACUUGCCCUUUUGUAGGGCUUCUCACAGCAAGGCAGCUAAGAGAGAGAGCCCAAAGUGGAAACCACAGUCUUUAUAACUUAAUCGCAAGUGAUAUUCCAUUAUUUCUGCCAUAUUCUGUUAACUAGGAGGAAGCCACUAGUCCAGUUCAUACCCAAGGGUGUGAGAUGACUCAAGGCUUGAGCAGCAGGAGUGGGGAUCAUUGGGAACCAUUUUAGAGGCUGGCUACAACAGAAGCACAGACCUAGUGGAUUUUGGAAUAGGUAGCUCUUCUUUUCAGAAACAGCUCUUGGUUUGCUCCUGGAUCCUGAUAAGAGACAAACUUUGAUCUGGGACAUCUAGAGACCAGAUGACUUGAGUGUCCCCUGAUGAACUGGAUGUUUUCUCAUCCACCAAGAUAUUAGAUCGGUUGAAGGUAUCAGCAAUCCAACAUGAGGUGGAAAUGAUGUGAGUAAGAUUAAGUGGAAGCAGCUCCUGAAGUCAUAAGUAUCUGACUGAGGAAGAAAAAGCCACGGCCUAGUUCGUCGAUGGUUUUCCCAGUGUGUUGGCACCGCCUGGAAGAUGGCUGCAGCAUUACAGCCAUGCCCAGGGAUGGGCCUGUGAGGUGGUUGUGAUGGAAAAUCCUCUCAGUGAGUAGAACCUUGAGCAUUUUGUCCACUCUGUCUGGAUUGAGAGAUGGUCAGAGUGCAAAUUUGCUGAUUCAUAGGCAGUGAUUGGCAGUUUGUCUGAAAGUUGGGGACUUGAAAGAAAAACAGUUUGGGGAGUUCCUUUUGUGGCUUAGUGGAAAAUGAACCCGACUAAUACCCAUGAGGACACGGGUUUAAUCCCUGGCCUCAAUCAGUGGGUUAAGGAUCCAGCGUUGCUGUGAGCUUUGGUAUAGGUCGCAGGCGAGGCUCAGAUCUCAUGGCUCUGGCUGUGGCGUAGGCCGGCAGCUGCAGCUCUGAUUUAACCCCUAGCCUGGAAACCUCCAUAUGCCACAGGUGCGGCCCUAAAAAGCAAAGGAAAAAAAAAA